UGGCUUAGUGGUAGAGUGCUUGCCUAACAUGCAUGAGACCCUGGGUUCGAUUCCUUG
RNAcentral lists this transfer RNA (57 nucleotides) under Dipodomys ordii (Ord's kangaroo rat). It matches the Rfam family "tRNA", at positions 8 to 63 of the family's 71-position model. From Rfam's summary of the family: Transfer RNA (tRNA) molecules are approximately 80 nucleotides in length. Their secondary structure includes four short double-helical elements and three loops (D, anti-codon, and T loops). Further hydrogen bonds mediate the characteristic L-shaped molecular structure. tRNAs have two regions of fundamental functional importance: the anti-codon, which is responsible for specific mRNA codon recognition, and the 3' end, to which the tRNAs corresponding amino acid is attached (by aminoacyl-tRNA synthetases). tRNAs cope with the degeneracy of the genetic code in two manners: having more than one tRNA (with a specific anti-codon) for a particular amino acid; and 'wobble' base-pairing, i.e. permitting non-standard base-pairing at the 3rd anti-codon position. The record is from Rfam by way of RNAcentral. Lineage: Eukaryota; Metazoa; Chordata; Mammalia; Rodentia; Heteromyidae.